UUGACGGGGCCCGCACAAGCGGUGGAGCAUGUGGUUAAUUCGACGCAACGCGAAGAACCUUACCAGGGCUUGACAUCCCCUGACCGCGUAUGAAAGUACGUUUUCACCCUCGGGUGACAGGGAGACAGGUGGUGCAUGGUUGUCGUCAGCUCGUGUCGUGAGAUGUUGGGUUAAGUCCCGCAACGAGCGCAACCCCUACGUUUAGUUGCUAACGCGUGAAGGCGAGCACUCUAGACGAACUGCCGUUGACAAAACGGAGGAAGGUGGGGAUGACGUCAAAUCAUCAUGCCCCUUAUGUUCUGGGCUACACACGUGCUACAAUGGCCGGUACAGACGGACGCAAAGCCGCGAGGUGGAGCAAAUCCUAAAAAGCCGGUCUCAGUUCGGAUUGCAGGCUGCAAUUCGCCUGCAUGAAGUCGGAAUCGCUAGUAAUCGCAGGUCAGCAUACUGCGGUGAAUACGUUCCCGGGCCUU
This 473-nucleotide ribosomal RNA is filed under the name uncultured Pelotomaculum sp. RNAcentral describes it as "bacterial SSU rRNA". It matches the Rfam family "Bacterial small subunit ribosomal RNA", at positions 910 to 1382 of the family's 1533-position model. The record is from RNAcentral. Lineage: Bacteria; Bacillati; Bacillota; Clostridia; Eubacteriales; Desulfotomaculaceae.